CUGAUGAUCACCGGAUCCUAAACUUUCACCUACAGUAAUAUCUGACACCAAAUCUCCAUUUUUUUAACACUAAAUCUAGUAUGGCCUCCUUACGAGUUGGCUCCUCAACGACUUGUUUUAAAGACAAUCCCAGUAGGGAGUUUAGAAUAUGUGUGCUCCUGGCACAAGCAGCUAUUUUUGUUUUCCAAUUCACAUCAGGUAGAUUAAAGUCACCCAUGAUGAUAACUUCCCCCUUUAUUGUCAUUUUAGCUAUUUCCUCAACUAGUAGAUUAUCUAACUCUUCUAUUUGUCCUGGGGGCCUAUAAAUCCCACCUACACGAGUUACUUUGUGAUUAUCAAAUUCUAACGUAACCCAAACGGACUCAAUGUUCG
Molecule: non-coding RNA, 372 nt
Organism: Pelobates cultripes (western spadefoot toad)
Lineage: Eukaryota; Metazoa; Chordata; Amphibia; Anura; Pelobatidae
Source: the annotation of a GenBank genome assembly